Molecule: long non-coding RNA, 389 nt
Filed under: Rattus norvegicus (Norway rat)
Lineage: Eukaryota; Metazoa; Chordata; Mammalia; Rodentia; Muridae
Description: long non-coding RNA NONRATT008205
Source: RNAcentral
GUGGGUUAGUGAUAUGCCUGAAAUUUCUUUCUCACUUACAUGGUCCCGGAGAGAAAAGCUUCCCAUUCUUGAACUUUCUGGAGUUCUGAAUGACUAUGAUAUUUUUCAUAUCUCAAUAAUAUUACAAUUGAUUGAUUUAAAGAGCGUUUAAUCUUUUUUUAAAUUAGGGAUAAAUGUGGACAGCUACGUAAAACGAACAAGGAAGGCGGGGGAGGAAAGCGGAAGCCGCGGGGCCUUCUAAAUACGAAAGUCUCCGGAGCUUGCGCCAGGCUCUUCGCGGCGCCCCCCACUUAGACGCGGGGCUUCUGAGCGGGUGGGGGAGAAGGAACUGUUGCCGGUGCGGAGACCAGGCGGCCAGCGUCUGCAGGGAUGAACCUCGAGUUGCUGGG